Molecule: ribosomal RNA, 1373 nt
Filed under: Bacteroides ovatus
Lineage: Bacteria; Pseudomonadati; Bacteroidota; Bacteroidia; Bacteroidales; Bacteroidaceae
Description: bacterial SSU rRNA
Rfam family: Bacterial small subunit ribosomal RNA
Source: RNAcentral
GUCGAGGGGCAGCAUUUUAGUUUGCUUGCAAACUGAAGAUGGCGACCGGCGCACGGGUGAGUAACACGUAUCCAACCUGCCGAUAACUCCGGAAUAGCCUUUCGAAAGAAAGAUUAAUACCGGAUGGCAUACGAAUAUCGCAUGAUAUUUUUAUUAAAGAAUUUCGGUUAUCGAUGGGGAUGCGUUCCAUUAGUUUGUUGGCGGGGUAACGGCCCACCAAGACUACGAUGGAUAGGGGUUCUGAGAGGAAGGUCCCCCACAUUGGAACUGAGACACGGUCCAAACUCCUACGGGAGGCAGCAGUGAGGAAUAUUGGUCAAUGGGCGAGAGCCUGAACCAGCCAAGUAGCGUGAAGGAUGAAGGCUCUAUGGGUCGUAAACUUCUUUUAUAUGGGAAUAAAGUUUUCCACGUGUGGAAUUUUGUAUGUACCAUAUGAAUAAGGAUCGGCUAACUCCGUGCCAGCAGCCGCGGUAAUACGGAGGAUCCGAGCGUUAUCCGGAUUUAUUGGGUUUAAAGGGAGCGUAGGUGGAUUGUUAAGUCAGUUGUGAAAGUUUGCGGCUCAACCGUAAAAUUGCAGUUGAAACUGGGAGUCUUGAGUACAGUAGAGGUGGGCGGAAUUCGUGGUGUAGCGGUGAAAUGCUUAGAUAUCACGAAGAACUCCGAUUGCGAAGGCAGCUCACUAGACUGUCACUGACACUGAUGCUCGAAAGUGUGGGUAUCAAACAGGAUUAGAUACCCUGGUAGUCCACACAGUAAACGAUGAAUACUCGCUGUUUGCGAUAUACAGUAAGCGGCCAAGCGAAAGCAUUAAGUAUUCCACCUGGGGAGUACGCCGGCAACGGUGAAACUCAAAGGAAUUGACGGGGGCCCGCACAAGCGGAGGAACAUGUGGUUUAAUUCGAUGAUACGCGAGGAACCUUACCCGGGCUUAAAUUGCAACAGAAUAUAUUGGAAACAGUAUAGCCGUAAGGCUGUUGUGAAGGUGCUGCAUGGUUGUCGUCAGCUCGUGCCGUGAGGUGUCGGCUUAAGUGCCAUAACGAGCGCAACCCUUAUCUUUAGUUACUAACAGGUCAUGCUGAGGACUCUAGAGAGACUGCCGUCGUAAGAUGUGAGGAAGGUGGGGAUGACGUCAAAUCAGCACGGCCCUUACGUCCGGGGCUACACACGUGUUACAAUGGGGGGUACAGAAGGCGGCUACCUGGUGACAGGAUGCUAAUCCCAAAAACCUCUCUCAGUUCGGAUCGAAGUCUGCAACCCGACUUCGUGAAGCUGGAUUCGCUAGUAAUCGCGCAUCAGCCAUGGCGCGGUGAAUACGUUCCCGGGCCUUGUACACACCGCCCGUCAAGCCAUGAAAGCCGGGGGUACCUGAAGUA